Molecule: long non-coding RNA, 1381 nt
Organism: Solanum dulcamara
Lineage: Eukaryota; Viridiplantae; Streptophyta; Magnoliopsida; Solanales; Solanaceae
Exons: 3
Source: RefSeq, a predicted model, not a curated record
UUUUCCUCCAAUUUCAAAUUGGCCAAAAAAACCAAAAAAGUAAGUCUAAAAGACUCGCUGAAAAUAUAUUUACCUUUUUUCACUCUCAAAAGGCUCUCCCAAGUGACCUCUCAGAAAACUCUUGUAGUGACCUCUUAGAAACUCUCAAAAAUUAGUGACCUAAUUCUUUAAGAAAUCAACAAUUACAAAUCUUAAGAUGAAUGAUUUGCUUUACAAAAGAAGAGGAUGAACGAUUCGCUUCACAAAAGCUUCAUCCCAUCGGAAGGAUUUUUGUUGGAAUAGAGUUUAUAAGGUUGUAGUCAUCCUAAAAAGAUUGCAGACUAACAAAAAUUGAGGCACCAGAGUGAUGCUAAACAGUUAAUGAUUGUCACUGCGUUUUCCCCUUCAAAUAAUAGUCUCUGGCUUUGUAGUUGAAGUCGCUCAAGGAAAAGAAAACAGAGAGAAUAGAAAAGGAAAGAAGAAUGAGUCAGGCAACAACUUUAAUGAAAAAACUCUCGAAUCCAAAUAAAGCCCAAAGUCCUAUGAAGAAUAUGAAUUCUGAUAUCCAGUACUGCUCAAGUGUUGAAUUAGCCAAAAAAUAUAAGAUUACGAGAGAAGAGCUUGCAAAAGAAUACAAUGAUAAAACUAGAAAAGAGCAGGCAACAAUGGCCCAUAAAAGAAAGAAUCCUGAGGGGUCCAUUCCACAACAAGGAAAGAGUAAAUUUCAUGGACACAAGUCAAUGAUCCAAUCGAACUCAAGGGAACAGAUUAAUACUUCACAAAUGAUAACAGAAAAGGACCAAACACACAUAUGUUAGUUAUUUCAGUCUCAAUUUGGAGAGUCCAUUCAAAAGAAAGGAAUGGAAUUGCCUAUGCACAACUUCAUGUUGCAAUCAUCAUCAAAGGUGGAUGUUAAUACUUCACAUAUCAUUGGAAAGUACAAGGUGAUGAAGAGAAACCACAUGCUAUUCAAGAGCUACAAAACUUCAAACAGGUGAAGAGGAAGUCAGUCAUACAAGCGACUAGUCUUUAUCAGUUUCUAGAAAAACAACGAAUAUACGUAGGUGGUGAAAAGCAACAUGAUGUUCACACAACAGAUGAUCUGCUGCCUUCUUUUGUUGAUGAACAUAAUAUAGGAUUGGAUGAUCUUGCAGAACAUGAAGAAAUUGGUCAGGAUGGGUGUGCUAGAUAUGAGGAUAUGACCAUCGAUUGUAGUACAAAUGGUAUCUAUUAAACAUUUUAAAUUUAUUGUUCCUUGUAUAUUGUUUUUUCUUAUUUCAUGUCUAUUACAUCGAUCUAGAGAUAUCAGAGAAGAAAAAAGAUCGAGGGCAAACAACAUGCAAGAAAAUUCACACAAUAAAUUUAGAUGAAAGAGACGAUGUGAUAUUUUACAAAGGACAAG